Molecule: non-coding RNA, 24 nt
Filed under: Cricetulus griseus (Chinese hamster)
Lineage: Eukaryota; Metazoa; Chordata; Mammalia; Rodentia; Cricetidae
Source: RNAcentral
UGUAUUUGUGCAUAAGAUUGCUGG